AUCAGCUGCUGCACCGAGCCCGAGCUCUGUUCUAUUUCUGUACAGAGUUUAAGGGUUUCAUUUAUAACCAUUCCCACUGGGAGAGAUCCAUGGAUUCAUACAAGUGCAAAUUUACAAAAGAGUAUUCCUGCGUCCGUCCGCCCCCACCACGACAUCAAAAUCAAAGUUAGCCACGGGGUGAUCAGCCGGUCGGAUUGCAGCCCUCCACCCAAGCCCUGGGAGACAGAGAUGAGGACAGAUAUAGAGAAAUUAAAUACUGCAGGAGGAGAAGUCCCUUGCUGUCUGACCAGCCUGGAAGCAGAGCGCCAAACUACAGAAUGGGAGAGUAAACACAGAUCUUCCAGUAAGCUACGCAGGAUCUGUGUAACAAACUGACAGAUGCAGCUUUACACAUUAUUAAACUUUUCAGCCUCAUUCUACUUCACGUCCCAGUUUUAUUGUUUCCAGCUGCUCAAAUCUCCUCAUCUUCCCAAAGCUUGCAGAUCAUAAAACAACUGUCAGUGGGUGAAAAUAAAAGCGCUGUUAAUCUAUUGU
Molecule: long non-coding RNA, 534 nt
Organism: Plectropomus leopardus (leopard coralgrouper)
Lineage: Eukaryota; Metazoa; Chordata; Actinopteri; Perciformes; Serranidae
Source: RefSeq, a predicted model, not a curated record